Molecule: ribosomal RNA, 591 nt
Filed under: Klebsiella pneumoniae
Lineage: Bacteria; Pseudomonadati; Pseudomonadota; Gammaproteobacteria; Enterobacterales; Enterobacteriaceae
Description: partial 23S ribosomal RNA
Rfam family: Bacterial large subunit ribosomal RNA
Source: RNAcentral
GUGUCUGGUGGGUAGUUUGACUGGGGCGGUCUCCUCCCAAAGCGUAACGGAGGAGCACGAAGGUUAGCUAAUCCUGGUCGGACAUCAGGAGGUUAGUGCAAUGGCAUAAGCUAGCUUGACUGCGAGCGUGACGGCGCGAGCAGGUGCGAAAGCAGGUCAUAGUGAUCCGGUGGUUCUGAAUGGAAGGGCCAUCGCUCAACGGAUAAAAGGUACUCCGGGGAUAACAGGCUGAUACCGCCCAAGAGUUCAUAUCGACGGCGGUGUUUGGCACCUCGAUGUCGGCUCAUCACAUCCUGGGGCUGAAGUAGGUCCCAAGGGUAUGGCUGUUCGCCAUUUAAAGUGGUACGCGAGCUGGGUUUAGAACGUCGUGAGACAGUUCGGUCCCUAUCUGCCGUGGGCGCUGGAGAAUUGAGGGGGGCUGCUCCUAGUACGAGAGGACCGGAGUGGACGCAUCACUGGUGUUCGGGUUGUCAUGCCAAUGGCACUGCCCGGUAGCUAAAUGCGGAAGAGAUAAGUGCUGAAAGCAUCUAAGCACGAAACUUGCCCCGAGAUGAGUUCUCCCUGAGACUUUAAGUCUCCUGAAGGAACGUU